GUCGAACGAUGAAGCCCAGCUUGCUGGGUGGAUUAGUGGCGAACGGGUGAGUAACACGUGAGUAACCUGCCCUUGACUCUAGGAUAAGCCCGGGAAACUGGGUCUAAUACUGGAUAGGAACGUCUACCGCAUGGUGGAUGUUGGAAAGAAUUUCGGUCAUGGAUGGACUCGCGGCCUAUCAGCUUGUUGGUGAGGUAAUGGCUCACCAAGGCGACGACGGGUAGCCGGCCUGAGAGGGUGACCGGCCACACUGGGACUGAGACACGGCCCAGACUCCUACGGGAGGCAGCAGUGGGGAAUAUUGCACAAUGGGCGAAAGCCUGAUGCAGCGACGCCGCGUGAGGGAUGACGGCCUUCGGGUUGUAAACCUCUUUCAGUAGGGAAGAAGCGAAAGUGACGGUACCUGCAGAAGAAGCACCGGCUAACUACGUGCCAGCAGCCGCGGUAAUACGUAGGGUGCGAGCGUUAUCCGGAAUUAUUGGGCGUAAAGAGCUCGUAGGCGGUUUGUCGCGUCUGUCGUGAAAGUCCGGGGCUUAACCCCGGAUCUGCGGUGGGUACGGGCAGACUAGAGUGCAGUAGGGGAGACUGGAAUUCCUGGUGUAGCGGUGGAAUGCGCAGAUAUCAGGAGGGAACACCGAUGGCGAAGGGCAGGUCU
RNAcentral lists this ribosomal RNA (655 nucleotides) under Micrococcus sp. UA-AR0436. RNAcentral's name for it is "bacterial SSU rRNA". It matches the Rfam family "Bacterial small subunit ribosomal RNA", at positions 61 to 728 of the family's 1533-position model. The record is from RNAcentral. Lineage: Bacteria; Bacillati; Actinomycetota; Actinomycetes; Micrococcales; Micrococcaceae.